RNAcentral lists this ribosomal RNA (472 nucleotides) under uncultured bacterium. Its description in RNAcentral is "SSU rRNA". It matches the Rfam family "Bacterial small subunit ribosomal RNA", at positions 26 to 518 of the family's 1533-position model. The record is from RNAcentral.
AGGACGAACGCUGGCGGCGUGCUUAACACAUGCAAGUCGAGCGGAAAGGCCCUUCGGGGUACUCGAGCGGCGAACGGGUGAGUAACACGUGAGUAAUCUGCCCCUAGCUCUGGGAUAGCUCCGGGAAACCGGGAUUAAUACCGGAUACGACCACUUUAGACAUCUGUUGUGGUGGAAAGAAUUUUGGCUAGGGAUGAGCUCGCGGCCUAUCAGCUUGUUGGUGGGGUAAUGGCCUACCAAGGCGACGACGGGUAGCCGGCCUGAGAGGGCGACCGGCCACACUGGGACUGAGACACGGCCCAGACUCCUACGGGAGGCAGCAGUGGGGAAUAUUGCGCAAUGGGCGAAAGCCUGACGCAGCGACGCCGCGUGGGGGAUGAAGGCCUUCGGGUUGUAAACCCUUUCAGCAGGGACGAAGCGAAAGUGACGGUACCUGCAGAAGAGCGCCGGCUAACUACGCGCCAGCAGCCGC